RNAcentral lists this ribosomal RNA (400 nucleotides) under uncultured bacterium. Its description in RNAcentral is "bacterial SSU rRNA". It matches the Rfam family "Bacterial small subunit ribosomal RNA", at positions 355 to 752 of the family's 1533-position model. The record is from RNAcentral.
UGAGGAAUAUUGGUCAAUGGGCGCAAGCCUGAACCAGCCAUGCCGCGUGCAGGAAGAAGGUCCUAUGGAUUGUAAACUGCUUUUAUUUGGGAAUAAACCUAUUUACGUGUAGAUAGCUGAAGGUACCAAAUGAAUAAGCACCGGCUAACUCCGUGCCAGCAGCCGCGGUAAUACGGAGGGUGCAAGCGUUAUCCGGAAUCAUUGGGUUUAAAGGGUCCGCAGGCGGACUUAUAAGUCAGUGGUGAAAGCCUACAGCUCAACUGUAGAACUGCCAUUGAUACUGUAAGUCUUGAAUAUGUUCGGAGUGGGCGGAAUGUGACAUGUAGCGGUGAAAUGCUUAGAUAUGUCACAGAACACCGAUAGCGAAGGCAGCUCACUAGACCAUUAUUGACGCUCAUGG